Molecule: ribosomal RNA, 449 nt
Filed under: uncultured organism
Description: partial 16S ribosomal RNA
Rfam family: Bacterial small subunit ribosomal RNA
Source: RNAcentral
ACUCCUACGGGAGGCAGCAGUGGGGAAUAUUGGACAAUGGGCGCAAGCCUGAUCCAGCCAUGCCGCGUGAGUGAUGAAGGCCCUAGGGUUGUAAAGCUCUUUCACCGGUGAAGAUAAUGACGGUAACCGGAGAAGAAGCCCCGGCUAACUUCGUGCCAGCAGCCGCGGUAAUACGAAGGGGGCUAGCGUUGUUCGGAUUUACUGGGCGUAAAGCGCACGUAGGCGGACUAUUAAGUCAGGGGUGAAAUCCCGGGGCUCAACCCCGGAACUGCCUUUGAUACUGGUAGUCUUGAGUUCGAGAGAGGUGAGUGGAAUUCCGAGUGUAGAGGUGAAAUUCGUAGAUAUUCGGAGGAACACCAGUGGCGAAGGCGACUCACUGGCUCGAUACUGACGCUGAGGUGCGAAAGCGUGGGGAGCAAACAGGAUUAGAAACCCCUGUAGUCCCAUGA